UGUGUAGUCCCCAAUGGCUUCAUCACAAC
Molecule: non-coding RNA, 29 nt
Filed under: Mus musculus (house mouse)
Lineage: Eukaryota; Metazoa; Chordata; Mammalia; Rodentia; Muridae
Source: RNAcentral